RNAcentral lists this ribosomal RNA (442 nucleotides) under uncultured bacterium. RNAcentral describes it as "partial 16S ribosomal RNA". It matches the Rfam family "Bacterial small subunit ribosomal RNA", at positions 338 to 795 of the family's 1533-position model. The record is from RNAcentral.
CCUACGGGAGGCAGCAGUUGGGAAUCUUGCACAAUGGGGGAAACCCUGAUGCAGCGACGCCGCGUGGAGGAAGAAGGGUCUAGGCUCGUAAACUCCUUUUUCAGGGAAAGACUUAGUACGGUACCCUGAGAAUACGCUCCGGCUAACUACGUGCCAGCAGCCGCGGUAAGACGCAUGGAGCGCGCGUUGUCCGGAUUUACUGGGCGUAAAGAGCACGUAGGCGGUCUGUUAAGUGAGAAGUGAAAUCUCCAGCGCUCAACGCGGAAACGGCUUUUCAGACUGGCAGACUUGAGGGAUGCAGAGGCAAGUAGAAUUCCUGGUGGACCGGUGACAUGGGUUGAUAUCAGGAGGAAUACCAAUGGCGAAGGCAGCUUGCUGGGCAUCAUCUGACGCUGAGGUGCGAAAGCGUGGGUAGCAAACAGGAUUAGAUACCCCUGUAGUC